GGAAUAUUGGACAAUGGGGGGAACCCUGAUCCAGCGACGCCGCGUGAGUGAAGAAGUAUUUCGGUAUGUAAAGCUCUAUCAGCAGGGAAGAAAGAAAUGACGGUACCUGACUAAGAAGCCCCGGCUAACUACGUGCCAGCAGCCGCGGUAAUACGUAGGGGGCGAGCGUUAUCCGGAUUUACUGGGUGUAAAGGGAGCGUAGACGGCUGGUCAAGUCUGAAGUGAAAGCCCGGGGCUUAACCCCGGAACGGCUUUGGAAACUGAGCAGCUAGAGUGCUGGAGAGGUAAGCGGAAUUCCUAGUGUAGCGGUGAAAUGCGUAGAUAUUAGGAGGAACACCAGUGGCGAAGGCGGCUUACUGGACAGUAACUGACGUUGAGGCUCGAAAGCGUGGGGAGCAAAC
RNAcentral lists this ribosomal RNA (401 nucleotides) under uncultured bacterium. RNAcentral describes it as "bacterial SSU rRNA". It matches the Rfam family "Bacterial small subunit ribosomal RNA", at positions 358 to 773 of the family's 1533-position model. The record is from RNAcentral.